AUUCCGCGGCUGCUGGCACAAAUUUAGCCGGUGCUUAUUCCUCAGGUACCGUCAGCCCCAUAGGGUAUUAACCCGUGGUAUUUCGCUCCUGAUAAAAGUGCUUUACAACCCGAAGGCCUUCUUCACACACGCGGCAUUGUUGGAUCAGGCUUGCGCCCAUUGUCCAAUAUUCCCCACUGCUGCCUCCCGUAGGAGUCUGGGCCGUGUCUCAGUCCCAGUGUGGCUGAUCAUCCUCUCAAACCAGCUACGGAUCGUUGCCUUGGUGGGCCAUUACCCCGCCAACAAGCUAAUCCGGCAUCGGCUCAUCCAAUCGCGCAAGGUCCGAAGAUCCCCCGCUU
RNAcentral lists this ribosomal RNA (338 nucleotides) under uncultured Gammaproteobacteria bacterium. Its description in RNAcentral is "partial 16S ribosomal RNA". Lineage: Bacteria; Pseudomonadati; Pseudomonadota; Gammaproteobacteria. The record is from RNAcentral.